CAAGUACUCCCUCCGUCCCAAAAUUCUUGUCUUAGAUUUGUCUAGAUACAGAUUCAUCUGUAUCUAGAUAAAUCUAAAACAAGAAUUUUGGGACGGAGGGAGUAUUUU
Molecule: non-coding RNA, 108 nt
Organism: Triticum aestivum (bread wheat)
Lineage: Eukaryota; Viridiplantae; Streptophyta; Magnoliopsida; Poales; Poaceae
Source: Rfam